GGUAAGGUAACGGCUUACCAAGGCUGCGAUGUUUAGGGGACCUGAGAGGGUGAUCCCCCACACUGGUACUGACACACGGACCAGACUCCUACGGGAGGCAGCAGUGAGGAAUAUUGGUCAAUGGGCGCAAGCCUGAACCAGCCAUCCCGCGUGCAGGAAGACGGCCCUAUGGGUUGUAAACUGCUUUUCUGAAGGAAGAAUAAUUCCGAAUUUUUCGGGAGAUGACGGUACUUCAGGAAUAAGCAUCGGCUAACUCCGUGCCAGCAGCCGCGGUAAUACGGAGGAUGCAAGCGUUAUCCGGAUUUAUUGGGUUUAAAGGGUGCGUAGGCGGGCUAAUAAGUCAGUGGUGAAAUCUCUCGGCUCAACCGGGAAACUGCCAUUGAUACUGUUAGUCUUGAGUUCGGUUGAGGUAGGCGGAAUGUGUAAUGUAGCGGUGAAAUGCUUAGAUAUUACACAGAACACCAAUUGCGUAGGCAGCUUACUAGACCGACACUGACGCUGAGGCACGAAAGCGUGGGGAGCGAACAGGAUUAGAUACCCUGGUAGUCCACGCCGUAAACUAUAUUACUCGUUGUUGGCGAUACACAGUCAGCGACCAAGCGAAAGCGAUAAGUAAUCCACCUGGGGAGUACGCUCGCAAGAGUGAAACUCAAAGGAAUUGACGGGGGCCCGCACAAGCGGUGGAACAUGUGGUUCAAUUCGAUGAUACGCGAGGAACCUUACCUGGGCUUAAAUGUAGAGUGCAUAAGUGGGAAACCAUUUUUUCCUUCGGGACUCUUUACAAGGUGCUGCAUGGUUGUCGUCAGCUCGUGCCGUGAGGUGUCGGGUUAAGUCCCAUAACGAGCGCAACCCUUAUCAUUAGUUGCCAUCGGGUAAUGCCGGGGACUCUAAUGAAACUGCCACCGUAAGGUGAGAGGAAGGUGGGGAUGACGUCAAAUCAGCACGGCCCUUAUGUCCAGGGCUACACACGUGUUACAAUGGUCGGUACAGAGGGCAGCUACCUGGUGAUAGGAUGCCAAUCUCUAAAGCCGGUCCAAGUUCGGAUCGAAGUCUGCAACUCGACUUCGUGAAGCUGGAAUCGCUAGUAAUCGUAUAUCAGCAAUGAUACGGUGAAUACGUUCCCGGGCCUUGUACACACCGCCCGUCAAGCCAUGGAAGCUGGGGGUGCCUGAAGUUCGUAACCGCAAGGAGCGACCUAGGGUAAAACUAGUGACUGGGGCUAAGUCGUAACAAGGUA
RNAcentral lists this ribosomal RNA (1237 nucleotides) under metagenome. RNAcentral's name for it is "bacterial SSU rRNA". It matches the Rfam family "Bacterial small subunit ribosomal RNA", at positions 251 to 1498 of the family's 1533-position model. The record is from RNAcentral.